UACGGAGGGUGCAAGCGUUAUCCGGAUUUACUGGGUUUAAAGGGUGUGUAGGCGGUUUGGUAAGUCUGGUGUGAAAUCUCCCGGCUCAACUGGGAGGGUGCGCCGGAAACUGCCGGACUAGAGUGCGGGAGAGGAGAGUGGAAUUCCUGGUGUAGCGGUGAAAUGCGUAGAUAUCAGGAGGAACACCGGUGGUGUAGACGGCUCUCUGGACCGUAACUGACGCUGAGACACGAAAGCGUGGGUAGCAAACAGG
This 253-nucleotide ribosomal RNA is filed under the name uncultured bacterium. RNAcentral describes it as "partial 16S ribosomal RNA". It matches the Rfam family "Bacterial small subunit ribosomal RNA", at positions 524 to 776 of the family's 1533-position model. The record is from RNAcentral.